CACUGAGGCACGAAAGCUGGGGGAGCAAACAGGAUUAGAUACCCUGGUAGUCCCAGCCCUAAACGGUGUGCACUUGUCGUGGGGGGUAUCGAUCCCCUCCGUGACGGAGCUAACGCAUUAAGUGCCCCGCCUGGGGAAUACGGUCGCAAGGUUGAAACUCAAAGGAAUUGACGGGGGCCCGCACAAGCGGUGGAGCAUGUGGUUUAAUUCGAUGCGACGCGAAGAACCUUACCUGGGUUUGACAUGUUAGUAGUAAAAACCUGAAAAGGGGCUGACCCUGAGGUAACUCAGGGAGCUAACACAGGUGCUGCAUGGCUGUCGUCAGCUCGUGCCGUGAGGUGUUGGGUUAAGUCCCGCAACGAGCGCAACCCUUAUCCUCUGUUGGUCGUAAACGAUCUCUCUGGGGAAACUGCCGGCGAUGAGCUGGAGGAAGGUGGGGAUGACGUCAAGUCAGCAUGGCCCUUAUGUCCAGGGCGACACACGUGCUACAAUGGCUGCUACAGAGGGAUGCAAUACCGUGAGGUGGAGCCAAUCCUUAAAAGCAGUCUCAGUGGGGAUCGGAGUCUGCAAUUCGACUCCGUGAACGCGGAAUCGCUAGUAAUCAUGGAUCAGCCAUGCCAUGGUGAAUACGUUCCCGGGCCUUGUACACACCGCCCGUCACACCACGAAAGCCUGUUGUACCCGAAG
RNAcentral lists this ribosomal RNA (687 nucleotides) under uncultured Nitrospirota bacterium. Its description in RNAcentral is "bacterial SSU rRNA". It matches the Rfam family "Bacterial small subunit ribosomal RNA", at positions 744 to 1426 of the family's 1533-position model. Lineage: Bacteria; Pseudomonadati; Nitrospirota. The record is from RNAcentral.